GCCUGGCAGGCCACAGUCCAUGGAGUUGCAGCGUUGGACAUGACUUAGCAACUCAACAACAACAACAACAAAGGCUGUGUGAGAGAAUCUGCUCCCUUCCUGCCUCCUGGUUUCUGAGGAUUUGCUGGUCAUAUAUAGUCUUCCUGGGCUUAGGCAUGCUUCAUCCUGAAUUCUGCCUUCAUAGUCACAUAGCUGUCUCCCUGUGUGCCUAUUUGUCUCUGUAUCCACAUUUCUCCUCUUUCAUGAGGGCACAGUCAUGUUGGAGUAGGGCCCCACCUCAUGACCUCACCUUAACGUGAUCAUCUGCAGACUCUUGUUUCCAAAUAAGGUUACAUUCACAGGUAUUGGAGGUUAGGACCUCAACAUCUUUGGGAGGAAACCAUUCAGCUCAUAACACUUGGAUUGACUGGAGAUGGAAAAAUCCAUUUUAUUCUCCUGCACCGAACUUGGAUGCAGAAGUUUCGGGGCUGUGCAUGAACGUUGCCUGUUGCUCAGCAUCACAACUCACCAGUGCAAAGGCUGCUCUUUUCCACCUGUCUUGUAUUUGUAUUCUCCUAUAUAAAAUUGCUUAUUGCUUUGUUACUAUCAGUGUAACUUUCUCCAAGGGAAUGACUGUGCAUGGUUUUGGAAAAGAUGAAUGAAAUGAAAUUUUCCAUUUCAAGUAUGAGAAAUUGAUCCAAACCAUACAGUACUUCAGCAAGUAAGGAUUGCUUUUAGAGUCUUGCUAGCUGUUCUUUCACUCACAAUUCCCCAUCUCCAUCCCAUGCAGGCAUUCACAUAAUUCUAAAGCACACACAUGCAUCUGCAUGCAGACAGACAGACAGACACAAACACACAAAGUAUGAUUUCCCAAAAGAGGACCUUGCUUUGGCCUGAAACAAGGCUACCCAAACAAGGUAUUGGUUUUAAUUCCUCUGAUAUAAAAGAUUUCUUUUAUCUUCUUUUUUUUGUUGUUGUCUGUUUGGUUUUGUGUGUACGUGUGCACGUGUGUUUUAUUAGCCUCCACUGGUAGAUGAUCGUCUCUUAGAUGCCCAACCAGCUGUCUGCCGGCAGGAGAGGAAAAAGAUAAACCUCUACUGGUUUCCCCCAGAGAAAACCUGCUUUAUCUCACGGAGCCGAGCUGCCAGGUGGGGUUGAGUAAACUCUGGGGUUACGAUACAGUUGAGGCACAAAGUUCACCACCAACGUAAACCAGCCAGCCCAGUUCUGCUUUUUAAUGUGUUCUAAACUGACAGAGCUGAGCCAUGUAAACAAGGGUGAAGCAAUAGCAUCAGGAAAAAAAGGGGCCGAGAUCUAUUGGUGACUAAUGGGUGAAUGGCUACUUUAGCAUCCUUAUGCUUGGAAUACCAUUUUGUUAACUUGCCCACAAAACUUACUUGGAAAUUAAGGCUGAGAGAGGAGAAGGUAUGUGCAAAUUUUAAGAGAGAAAUUGUCUGUUGCCUGCUGGGCUUACAGAGUUAGAAGGACUUUAUUAUUAGAGCAACCGCUUCAACUGUCUUGCCUUCUUAGGCGAGGAAACGGACACUCGGGUAAAUGAAAUGCAUGGGGCUGUAUGCUUUAACGCAGAGUUUUGGGACCUUGGGUCGAUGUCUCUAACUUUGUAAAUGGAGAUACUAAUAGGUGAACACUGCAGGUGAUGGUUGUUAUGGGGCUCUAAUGAGAGAGCAUGGUCUGCAGUCCUAAUGUGUCACCUUGUGAGUUACCUUUCCUCCUUAGACCAGGAUUACUCAGCUAAUUAGUCCCAGAAGAGGGACUUGACAUCAUUUCUUAGCUGGAUGUUUUACCUUUGCCCGUGUUACCUCAGCUAAGAAGCACAUGAUUUUGGAAAUCCCCAAAAGAAUGAGCUCUACGGUUAAAUGAAAAGAGCUCUUUCCAAAUAGUUGUUUCCAGCGGCUCCACCAGCAACUUUCGCCAGAGCUGUUAAUAAUUAACCAAGGGGAGUGACUGGAUGGAAACUUAUCCAGGCCCCUCCAAUGUGUUCCUUGCCAGAAACGGUGUGAGAGGCAGCCAAAAGAAGGAUAAGAGGAGAAAGCCAGGGGCCUGUGAAAACACAUAUGCGUGAUCGAACAUCCUGGCUCUUGGACAGAUGGAGCCGUGAGACACAGAAGCACUUUCUCCAUUUGUGUGUUUACAGGUUCAGGGCCUCAUUUAGGAUCCAUAUUCAGAAGAGUGGACCAAGGCUCUCGGCUUUCUCAGUGGUGUUUACUUACUCGAUAGAUAAAAUUGAUUAGUGACUUUCUGCAGCCUUAUCUGAAUCCCAGUCACUGUUUUGAUGCUGUGACCUUAGUAAGGGAUCACGUACAGUGGGUUUUGGAAAGAGAAUGGGGAUGAAUGGAGGGGGAGGAAGAGAAGGGGUGUGUUGGAGCAUCAAGCACUGCUGUCCAUGGUCUGGUGCUUGGCGAUGCUGCAUCAAGACCGGAGGUCAAAGAAUGCUUAAGUUAGAUUCAAAAAUAGAAGAAGAACCGAGGGUCCCUAUCUUCUCUCUAAAACACCAGUGAAGAAAUUGUUUGUUAAGUGCCAGUGGUGGGCUGCCAGGUGAAGCCUGUGUCCCCAGCUCUGUUCACUUUCACCAUUUAGUUCCACUGAGCAGUUGCUAACGUGGCUAUGUCACUGGAAGCUGUCCUUUUCUCAGGAAUGAUCAGAAUCUUGUCCAACAAUGUUGUCAAAGUAAGGCCAGAUCAUUUUCCCACCCAGUUUCAGAAUGAGAGGUCAACAUGCUCCAGGUGAUGUGAAUUGAUAGCCACCCCAUAUCAAACACUCAGAGGCUGUCAUGGCCACCACCAUGCAACAAUCCCUCAAUGGCUCCUUGUUGAACAAAUAAGUGACAGAAGAGGCUAAUGAUGAAGGCCGUUGCCCUUGAUUUAGAUGACUCACACCAACCUUGACUUGUUGGGCAACUAUAGUUUUAUUGAUGGUAACUUGCUGAAUUCCACCUUUUAGAUCCAGACACUAAAGAAAACAAAGCACCAUCACUAAAAAAGCAAAUGAGAUGAAUGAUUUCAUUUGAAUUUUUCAAAUGUUCAGCUCUCAAGUUAACAGAGGUUUAAGUGGGACUCCUCUCUUGUCGAAAAUAAAGAUAUUAAUAUCUCUUCACUGUAGGGUUGCUAUGAGGAUUAAUAAGUCAAUACAUGCUUAGGACACUGCCUGUCAACAGUGAGGGCUCAGUAAGUAUUAGGUUUUAUAUUACCAUGUUUGAGCUUGCUUUUGAAAUAGUUUUUCUUUUCUGUUUAUAAUUUUUCACAUGCACACCUUAUAUAGUUUUGCAUAAAUACAUCUGUUAUUUCACACAUAUAUUUAUCUGUUACUUAGAGAAGCCUUGUUUCUUUCUUUUUUUAUUGAAAUACAGUUGAUUCACAAAGUUGUGUUCAUUUCAGGUCUACAACAAAAUGAUUCAGUUAUAUAUAACUGAAUCAUUAUAUAAUUUUUCAAAUUGUUUUCCUUACAGGCUAUUACAAAAUAUUGAGUAUAGUUACUUUUGUUUUAUUCCUGAUGUUUAGCCUCAUCUUCCCUCUCUUUUCUCCUCUGCAUCCCCUCUGCACCCCUCUCUGGCAUGGAACUAUUGUUAGUGACCUGAUGCAUGCUUCCACGUUUUCCCCCUCGCUCAUAUGAUCACAUAUAUACAUAUUACACUUACACAUGUUUAUGGGGGUGAUCUAUUUAUUUGUUUUAUGACCACUGAAUAAUGCACAUUUUCUUUCUCUUGCUAGUUUUUAAUAUUUCUUUGGCUGCUUUGAGUCUUAGUUGUGGCACACGGGAUCUUUGAUCUUUGUUGUGGCAUGUGGGAUCUAGAUCCCCGACCAGAGAUUGAAACCAGCCCCCUGCAUUGAGAGUGCAGAUUCUUAGCCACUGGACCACCCUGUUAUUAUUAUUUUUCUCAUUUAUGAUGUAUGUAUAGAAAUCCCUCCAAAGUGACUAUUCUGUUGUAACUCUUUUUUUUGGAGUGGAUAUGUAAUAACUCAUGGUAUGGAUGAGCUGUAAUCUAUUUAGAUGUUCUCACUGCUGAACAUUUACUGGGAUCCCUGUCCCCCUCUCCUUUUCUUGCUAUGAAUAGUAUGUGUCCUCUUACAUUCGCCCCUGUGCUCGGAUGAUCUUGGAGGUGUCAAGAGGAGAUUGCAAUGUUGAAUGGCACAUAUAGGUGAUGGAGCGAAGCUUCAGAGAAAUGCCAGCGCAAGGGAAGAUGGAUAAGAAUGGCGGCAGUGAAGAUCUAUGUGAAGAAUGUAGGAACUCCAGGGAUUACAGUUUGUCUUUAUUUAAAAACUGUCUUAGUGUGAAUGACUGAAUUCAAUAAAACUAUGAGCAUCUAAGCAAACUCUGGGAGAUGGUGAAGGGCAGAGGAACCUGGCAUGCUGGCAGUCCAUGGAGUCACAAAGAAUCGAGCACGACAGUGAUUAAACAACAAGCAUCUAAAGAGAAGGGAUGUCUCAUUGAUUCAGUUCUUUCUGGUUUAAUUCAUGGAAAUAAAAGUGGAGGAACUGGUUA
Bubalus bubalis (water buffalo) is the source of this 4479-nucleotide long non-coding RNA. RefSeq lists it as uncharacterized. The record is from RefSeq and is a predicted model, not a curated record. NCBI's taxonomy places the organism in Eukaryota, Metazoa, Chordata, Mammalia, Artiodactyla, Bovidae. The transcript is spliced from 2 exons.